Molecule: non-coding RNA, 119 nt
Organism: Triticum aestivum (bread wheat)
Lineage: Eukaryota; Viridiplantae; Streptophyta; Magnoliopsida; Poales; Poaceae
Source: Rfam
AGAUGCGAUCAUAACUGCACUAAUGCACUGGAUCCCAUCACAGCUCCGAAGUUAAGCAUGCCUGGGCGAGAGUAGUGCUAGGAAGGGUGGCCUCCUGGGAAGUCCUCUUGUUGCAUUUU